UGUUCUUUUUAGUUACACUAUUACACUGGUGUAAUAAGUUAAAGUGAGACAAGUAUAUUUUUUCUCAUUCUAACUUAUUGCAACAGUGCAACUAGAAAGAACAGACCACAUGUUUUCUAUAGUGUGCUUCCAUGUGUAUGAAUGCCAUGUUAUACGUGUAUAACUUUGAAGAAUAAAAAAAAACAUUGAAAAAAGAAAAUUAUAAAAUGGUAUAUUGUAAAGCGUGUGGCGUGACCGGAAAAGCUCGAAAUUAUGGAAUAACAUUUCAUUGGUUUCCAAAAAACGAAAGCCAAAGGAAUGCCUGGAUCAGUUUCGUAAAUAAGGGAAAGGAAUCAAAUACAAAUUUUAAGUGUACUAUGCUCUGCUCACAACACUUUGAAGAUUCAUGUUUUGACAAAACAUCACGUGUGAAAAUGAGAUUAAAACCAUUCUCUGUGCCUACAAUAUACAUUUCAAGAGCAAAAUAUUCAAAAUAUGAAGACACUUUUACUAAAGUUAUUACAACUGCACCUUCAGAGAAUGAAACAUUUGCUGCAAAUAUUGUACCAGAUGUGUCAAUAGAUGCUACAGCGAUGGAUUCCAUAAAUAAUGAAAUAGUGGAGAAAUCAAUUUCUUCAAAUAAUUGUGAAACAUCUGUUGUAAACAUAUCAGCAGAUGCUGCAACAAUAUGUUCCAAUGAAGAUAAUGACAUGGCAGAAAAGUCAAUUGAUAGUGAAGUGAAUGAUCUCUUACCAAUAAAUACAUCAGAUGAUCAAAAAUUAACUGAUAUUAUAUCUAAUAAUGAAGAGUUGCUGCCACUUAAUUUUAAAAAUAAUGUUUCAUUCAACAUUUUACCAAGCGAUACACCGAGAAAGAUUGUAUUAAAGAAGAAAAUUAUAUUGAUGGGACAAUUACUUGUUGAAAAGUCGGCUCUGAUUAGAAACUUACAAAAGAAAAAUUGGAAGCAGAAAAAACGAAUAUCUAAAUUAAAAUCAAUAAUAUCAGAACUUAGUAAAAAAAAUCUUAUAUCUGAUGACACAUUAAUGCAUGAAUUUAGACCAAAUAAGCAAUUAAAUACUUAACAGGGAAGGCAUAUGAUUAUGUGAGAAGAAAAUUCUACAAUACUUUACCACAUCCUAAAACACUUAGCAAAUGGUAUUCAACUAUUAACGUAUUGCUAGGAUUAUCUACAGAAGCACUAAAAAUGAUCAAGCAAAAGCAAAAUCAUCUGAUCGGAUUGUAUGCUCGUUAAUAAUGGAUGAAAUGGCCAUAAAUAAAAAAAUAGAAUUUGAUGAUAAUAAAUAUUAUGGAUCAUCUAAAUCUCAUUUAGUGGAAAAAAAUACAAUUGAUUGGUACAUACACUACAAAACGAGAAGUAUCAAUAGAAAAUUUGAAUUUAAUCGACUUAGCUGAAUUUGAACGUUUAAAUUGUUUGAAGACUAAAGAACCUGUCAGAAUGGUAGACACAAAAAAUCAACAAAGUCUUUAGCAAAUCUUGGCAAUGUCAUUUUAGCGCUUUUGAAGAAACAGGAACAUGUUCCUUACAGAAAUUAACGCAUUUACUCAUUUCUUAUCUAGGAGGCAGUGCCAAAACUUUGAUGUUACUAAAUGUAUAUUGUCUCAAUAUACUGCUGUAAGAUUUAUUCGACAUUUAAAAAUACUUUUGCAUAAUAUGUAAAAAUAAAAACAACUUUGAUUAUAAACACAUCAAAUUUGUUUGAAAUUUAAUUUUAAAAAUAUAUUUUAUUAUCAGUUUUCUAUCUUUAAAUUAUGAAUUAUUCAAUGCUUGUAGUCUUGUAACAUAAGUAUUAUAAUAUUUGCUGUUAUCUCUAUAAAAUUAUCUAGAUAAUCUAAAAAA
RNAcentral lists this unclassified non-coding RNA (1837 nucleotides) under Monomorium pharaonis (pharaoh ant). Its description in RNAcentral is "dnaJ homolog subfamily C member 30, mitochondrial, transcript variant X1". Lineage: Eukaryota; Metazoa; Arthropoda; Insecta; Hymenoptera; Formicidae. The record is from RNAcentral.